Betta splendens (Siamese fighting fish) is the source of this 10394-nucleotide long non-coding RNA. RefSeq lists it as uncharacterized. The record is from RefSeq and is a predicted model, not a curated record. The transcript is spliced from 4 exons. NCBI's taxonomy places the organism in Eukaryota, Metazoa, Chordata, Actinopteri, Anabantiformes, Osphronemidae.
UCACCACCAAGACAGCUGUGAAAGGAGGAGGGAGGAACACGUGUCAUGCUCCAUGUGAAUGCAUCACCGCUACUGUACAAACUGUGCGGUGCUGGAGUGUGUGUGUGUGUGUGUGUGUGUGUGUGUGUGUGUGUGUGUGUGUGUGUGUGUGUGUGUGUGUGUGUGUGUGUCUAAGCACACGUGAACGUUUACACACAGGAUCGCACCGUACAUGUUCUCCAGUCCCCAGUUAUCAGAGCCGCCGUAAACACACCCUGAAUCCCCUGGUGAAACGAGUGGAGGCCAUACAUCACCAGAAAAUGACCUGGAAAAGAACGACAGAAUGGGUCCAGAGGUGCGGGCGUCUCGCAUCCGCUGAAGCCGGAUGAAGCUGUGCUCUGAGCUCUAAUUGCAGUUUAAAGUAAAUCAUUUCUCCGUAAACCCGCCGUAGCUCCGCGCUGACGCCGGCCUCCUCGCCUCCAUCCAGAUUCAAACAGCUUCAGUCUGUCUCUGCGCCUCCACGUGUCCUUUCUCCGCGAUGACCUCCAGUCACAUUGGCGGCGCAGAGACUCUGCUUGUCCUUCCCGCCUGAUUGGGUCUAAGAGGAUUGUGGGCUGCCACUGUUUUUAUUCGCAUGCUAAUACGUUUCGGAGAAGCAGGUGGAUGAUUUAAGCUCUAAGCUAAGAAACCGAGGCGUGGAGGUCAUGUGUCAUCGCUCCUCUUCCUUCUUCAGGUGUCAGACUUGUACAGGAAGUCGGAGGAUUUAAGUCCCGUCGUAGUGAGACUCCGUUAUCGUGGAAGCACAGCUGGUUCCGCUGUGAAGUGGUGUCAUUCCCCCGACAGCCUGGAUGGUUCUGAAGUAGCUAUUUGUCACACGCUGAUGCUUUAUUAGAACAUAAAGACGGCGGAGUUCAGAAAGAGCUGUUGUGUAAAAUCAGGACUAAUCCUGGGUCAGUUUAAUAGUUAACUAGUUCUGAGCUUUUGUUGAUGCAUUCCCAGCCCCAUGGAAUCCAGAGGAGACCGGUCAAUGCUGGGAUAGCUCAGCAUCCGGUAACCAUGACAACGGUAGGAGUCAGACAGAGGGUCCACGAUCACCUGGAUGCAGAUGAACGGGAUGGAGGUGCAGGCUAAGUUUCCAGCUGUUGCCUCGUCAGCCUUCAGACCAAACUGCUUGUUCAGGUGCUGCCAGCAGCCUCUUAAGGCGCCGCUUUCUCCUCUAAGUGAAUGGGCCGCCAUUAUCAGUGUGUUCGUCUCAGGCAGGUCAUUUAGAACCAGCACAAGGUUAAUUAAUGAAUCAAGUUUAAUGGAGGACCUUGAAGUCCACCAUGAAGAAAUAUGUGUUUUAUAAAGGCCUUAAUGAAUGUGGCUUCACUGUCUGCCAGGAGUGUAUUGAUCAGGGACCUCAUCCUCUCUAAAGGCCUUAGUAAGUCACUUUUUUAGCUGUGGGAAAUUUAUUCGCCCCCUGUUUUAUACCUAAGUGGUUAAAAUAUAAUGGCUUUGUAUAGUUUGAAUGUGUAUUUAUUUAGAUAGUUGCCUUUAGUCCAACUCUGGGCUCUGAGUUAAGUGGAGUCAUUUAAAAGUCUUAAUCAAGUCAACAGCUUCACCCAAUCCUUCGAUGCCUUAUUAGACUUGUAUCAAGCUAAAAGUGGCUCAUUUAAUCAGAUGACCUUCUUGGAGCCUUUACAUUAUUACAAUUACAGUAUUUCUCUGCUUGGACGCUGAUCAGGCAGAACAUCAUCGGUGGAGCGAGUCUCAUCUAACUGUGGAGUCCAGACGGGUCAGAACAUCUCCAACCUGCAGCUCCGGUGGGAUGUUUCUGCUCCGAAGGGCUCAGAAUCUAUCAGGGACCAGUGGUGCCGGGUCCAAACCCGCUCUUGUCGCUCAGUAGUAGGUGACGUGAAGCAGGUCCAGGUGAUGCCUCAUACAGCAUGUAUGUGUAAUGUGUGUGUGGUUUGGUCCCAGAGCACAGCUGGACUCGAACCGACACGCUUCUCAUGACGCUGCCAAAGAGCAGCUUUCAGAUACACGCGUGCGAUGAUCCAUAACCAGGUGACUGAGAGCAUGAAGAAGACGUGGGCGCCUCUGGACGUGCCAUCGCCAUUUAUCAUCUGCAGCCAAUAUGUCACUGAGGUCAGUUACAAAUAACAAGAGAUUCAUGUUGAUGACAGCGCAGUGAAGGUUUGUGGAGCCACCUGAAUCAGCAGAUCCGUUGUUCACGCCUGUUUGGGCUCUGAUGGGCUCAAACCACCAGUGUACACACACAAAGGUCAAAGGUCACUGUCAUUAAAACUACAGACUAUGAGGCAGCUGCUGUAAAAGAAAGAGCAGCUUCCUGACGUGGCUCCACAUACAUUUUCACCAGCGAUGCUGAGUAAUACUUUCAAUAAAAAUCAAGCGCUAUGAUCCGUUGUUUUUAGAAGCCGCGUGACUGAUAGCGUUGUUGCGGCGUCAAUCUUCUUUAAGUUAAACAAAUUGCCUCUCACUUAUUUAGCGAAUGCAUCACGGGUUGAUGCGUUUUUUUGCACAUUUGGUGCGCAGCUAAUUAAGCUCUGAUGGUAAAGAGACACACAUCAUCUUUGUUUAACGCUCCGGCGAACACGCUCGCCCGCUUCACAAACACAGGAGAGCAUCCUGGCGUGAAAUGAAAAGGUGUCCCUGCUGGUAAACUCCUGGUUCCAUUCCUCAUCAGCAUGCGAGCGGUAAUUAAAAGCGGAGGCACUACCUGCACGCGGCCGCGGAAGGCAGCGGCGUUUAGGCGUCGGCUUUUAAUUAGAGUCCCAGGUGCGACGGCAGCAGAAACACCGCUUUUAAUGCGGUUUACAUAUUUUCUUUCAUAUUUAAUGCAGCUAUUAGUUGUUUGCAUCAAUUCGAUGUUUUCCUUUCAGCAGCUGCACGUGUUCCUGCCAACGCUAAAUCAAACAUAUAUUAACGUGAGGCAUUGUUCUCCUGCACUGUGGCCUCAUUACGACGGCUGCCUUGUUGUGAUGCUGCAACCGGAGGUCAGUGGAUCCGUCCCUCGGCCCAGUUAACAGCGGUCCGGUCCCGUCCAAGGCCCGGCCGACUGGGAAGCUGUCGGACAGGCAUACGUGUAAAUCAUCUGACUUUGGAUCAGAUGAGCUGUGGCUCAUGUAACAAAUGCGCUGGAUAAUGAAGGGCUGAGAAUGAAUCUGUUCCACUUUGAUUGGUUUAAUUGUGGGGGGUGAAGACGAGCGGCUAAUCUGUGACGCUGCCCUGUUCUUUUUCUCAACGUUAAAGGUUUUAUCGUUAGUAUCAUAGAGUCACUGGCCUCUACGACCCAAUACACCGCGACGUGGUUCCGGUUUCUGUGUUUCCACCCCUCCCCCACCACCAGCAGCAGCCUCUGCAGGACGGGUUGAGCCGCCAGGACGCCGGCUGAUUGAACAGCCUUAUGUAUUUUCUGCAUUGUUUACCGGUGUCAAACAAAUCUGCUCAUGCUAAUCAGACGCCGUCCGUCAGUCACGCUGCGACCGAGGCAAAGAGCAACAGGGUCUGUCUGCGAUCCCCACGCACGCAAACACACACACACGUGUGCACACGUGCGCGUGCACGCAUGUGCAGUCGGCUGGAAAAUUGUUUGCCGGUGAUGUGAGAUGUGUGAGGAGAGGGAGGAGAAGCGGGGCCUGUUUGCUCAGACGCUGACAAAUCCCUGACACUUAGUCUCUUAUCUCACCCUCCUCUGCCUUCACGUGUCGUCGUGUAAUAUCUUAUACGGACGGAUUAUGGAAGUGUUGAUUUGACAUCACUAAGUUUAAUGGUGUAAAAUCAAGGAGAAACUUCUCUGAUGAGGAUUAUACGGCAUGUACUGCGUUUAGCGAAGACGGGUCAGCGUGCUUUACUUCAUUAUUUAAAACCAAAGUUCUCAGAUGUUGUUUUUUGACUAAAGUAAAACCUUCACAUUUUGUUGAGAGCAAGAGAAUCAGUUUGACCGCAUGUUUCAGUUUUCCAUCCCGGGACACUUUACAACACUGUGAAAAGCUCGGUUCAGGUUAAAAGGAUAAAGUUGGUGAAGGUGGAGGUCAAAGGCCACAGAAACACCUGCAGGGGGUCUCGUACCCUGGACCGUCUCCUCUGCUCCGUCGCAAACAUCUGACUCAACCACAUCCUCUCGUCUCUAAUCCUGUCCGUCGUCGUCAGUCCUGAUAAAAAACAGCUUCAGUCGUGGACUCCAUCACCUCCAGCUGUGCCUCGACCUCCAGUCCCCACUAUGCUGCACCUUAGAACUGGUCUCACUGCCGUCCAGUCUCACUCUUGCAGUAAUUGGAAAAUGAGUUAGGAGACAUCAGUUUAACUUAAUAAAUCAGUGAAGGUGGUCAAUUUUUUCCAGAGGUUUCGUUGCAGGAUUCAAGUUCAGCCUGAUGCUGAUCCGCGUGUGGCGGCUGCACGUCCGUCCUGUAGCUGCAGCAGUAUGGAUUUUAAAUUCAUGGUUCUUUUUCAUGGUAAAAUUAAAUUAAUUAAAUUAAAAUCAAAUUCAUGGUAAGUUCAGAGGUUUCCUGCUGGAGUUUGUGCUGCAGAAAAGCACCAAGCAAAAUGGUGAUGUUGUGAUUUUUAAUUAAGGCCGUUGGUGAUGUCUUUGGCUCCAUUAUACCGGGGAAGCGCGGCUGCGUUUGCGAUGGAAGAAAGAAGCAGCUCCCUCAAACUGCUGGCGUCUCAUUAGAGAAACUCCCGGGGCCUCAUCAAAGAUCUUCCUCUCACCCUGCUUUGUGCCACUUCCCUCCCUCCCCUGCUCCAUAAUGCACCGUUUUCCCAGUGCACCGCUCCCCGCAGCUCCAGGACAUGCUUAACAAACACCAGCAAAACACUCCUGAUGCUAACUUUUCAUCGCUUUGCUCCACCACAGAAAGAAAAGCUCUGCAGCUCUCUUGAACUGCAGAGCCUCCCUGUCGACAGCCGAGGUUUCCGGUGAUGGAUGUUUGAUCUGCACAGCGUGAAACAACAUCCAGGCUUCCCCGUGCUCAUGUUCUUCUAGGGAAAUGUUCUAAGGGGAGAAAAUGCUAAAACAAAGCUCCCAGUCUGGGUUAUGCUGGUGGCACCGGCGUGGUUUUACCACAGCGAUGCGUCACAAAAGGUGCCAAAGCAAAUGAUGAUGAAUAGUCAGUUGAUGAAAUGAUGAGGUUGCUGCUCUUUCAUUAGUCAGUGCGCAGAUUCCUUGUUUUCCUUGUUUUAUCGGCCGCUCGCUGCAGCUCAGCCAUUCACGGCCACGCGCCUCCUGCAACUUCCCAGAGUUCACAGUCACAGUCAGAUCUGUCUCUUUGAAGCGAAGCUGCAGGAGUAAUCAACAUUUAUUUCAUUUUAUCUAUUUCGUUCGCAGCCUGUGUUUUCUUCCCACUCGCGCACACAAACAUAAACUCUUUCAUUAAGCAGCCACACAAGCAGCGGGGGGUGAACUGGCCCCGGCUGGCGGCUCAUGAAUCAUCAGAUGACAGAAGCAGAAAGCCUGUUUUCUUGGAAAGUCCUUUAAGAAAUAAUAAAGAUCGUGAGACAGGUAGCAACGCGACGCGAAGGAGGCUGGAGCGUUUUGAUUUGAUUUCUUUUUCCCAGCAGACUGCGUCAGACUGAAUGCAAGUGACAGGGAACGUUAACAUAUUGUGUUUUUUUAAUAUAAAGGUAAAAUCUGAUCCAAUUUAAAUAGUAAGUGCUGAGUAUUAACUGUGCAUUUAGUGAUGGUUCUCCCCACAGUGCUACGUUCUCCCACCAGAGCAACGCUCCCCAUAAAUCCAGCCACGUGACUAAGAACAGUUAUUUUUAAGUUAUGGAUGUUUUUUUUUUAUUUUCUUGUGUCCAAAACACAUUCAUGAACUCGAUCCGACGUCUUUGGUGGCGGAUCGUGACACCGACGUCCACUCUCACCCAGCUGCCGGCUGUAAACGGGACAGAACCAUUUGAGUCCAAACCAAACCAUUAUUUAUUUGUCAGCCUCUGCAGCUGACAAAGUGCCUGUGUAGCUCCGCUCCCCUCAUUUUUUACAUCACAGGGACAAACUCGGUGCGCUUUCGUGGGUGGUUCAGGUAUUAGUAUUUGUAUUAUUCAUGACCUCAGAGAGGAACAUUUUUCCAGUGAACACAGCUGAUGGAGUAACAGGACGAGGAAACCAGGCCUCGUUUUUCAUCCCACAGGCCCAAGGAGGAGAACGCGCUUCCAGGAUACUGGUUUGUGCUGGUUAGUGUGUGUCAGCGUAAUGGAGUCUGUGCCGCCACAGGCAGGUCCUGGAACAGACGCCCACCGGUGGCGCCCAGCAUCACGCGAGAUGGACAGUUUACAGGAGGCUGCUCAUGAAUGUUGACAGCGUGAGGCUGAAGAUGAAUAAAGACAUAUGAAAGGCACGAUGGAAGAAGUCUGGUGUUACUGUAGGUCCACCACCGAAGAAGAACUUCAGGGUUAACCAGUGGGUUUCCUUCUAGCAUUAACUGAUCUGUUUUCUUCCUGUUGUUGAUGAUGAUCCUGCCAUAGAAAAACAGUGGAGCUGCAGAGGAACAUAAGGCCCCACAUACAUACUGUGGACAUCUGCUGUGGCGUUAAAGUCAUCUCAGACUCUAGAUUGAGGCAGGAACCUGCAGACGCUGCCUCGUGUCCUGGGACUCGUCUAAUUAUCUCCCACUCUGUAUUUUGGCUAUGGGGUGAAAGAGAACAGGGGAAGUGAUUUGCAAAAGGAGAAGUUGUGUCCAAACAGAUGUCAGGCAGCACACUAAGCCAUCCUUUAUCCAUGCCCGGCCUUCUCCCGCUUUAUAUUCCUCUCUACAUUCACAGGAAAUUGCUCUGAGACUUACAGAGCUCCUCCAGCAGGACUCUCACCUGGGAACUGGCCCUGGUUUACGAUCUAUGCCUCAUGCACUUCUAACUUUAAGUGCGUUGCCAUCAGCUCAGCCAAUUAAGCGUCUUGUUCCCCCCGCAGUCCUGCCUUCCACCUCUAAUAGUAGUUAUUGGAAAUGAAAAUAAGGUGGAAGGUUUUCCCCGGGCGUCAGAAGGAAGCGGCGCCUUCAGGUCCGUGCCCGCGUGAAGCGUCUGGAGCCGUAAAAGUGAAACAUAAUGUAACCCCACAUAAAAGUGCCUGUUUUCAUGAUAUGAGCUUAAUUUAUAUUUUGGCCUGAGUUGUCACCGCAGCCAUCACACGUCUAAUGAUGUGCAGUCUCAGGCCUCGCAUGGAGAUGAGCCCAUCACAGGGUCCUGGUGUUAACCCUGAAUAUUAAAGCAUGAAGAGUGGACGAUGCCCUCCACUGCUUUAAUGGCCUCCUCCGAGACUGUGUGGACGGCGUCGGCCCAGCGGGUCCUGCUGCUGCUCGGGCUCAUCCUCACUUUAUAUAUAAACAAAUGUGCUGCGUGGUCGAGCGGCGUGUGCACGUUGCGCUCUGAAAGCGCGGGCUCAGCGAAACCGGAGCAAGUUAGAGACGUGGAAGCGGGUUCCCUCUGCAGAAGAUCACGACGGCAUCCUUCACUCCUCGCUGGCCUGUCCGCUCGUCUCCACGUCCCGCGGCGUCCAAGAGACUCUGAGCUCAGAGGGCGGUGAUGGUGGAAAAAAAAAAAACCACGCGCAGCCUUCCAGUCGCAGCACCUCCACGUGAAUGCGUCUCAGGUUCACGGCCUCGUUUGUGAGGGGUCGUAAACAUCCAUCAUCCCAACGUCGCCCGUUGCUGAGGAAACGCGAGCGAUGCUCUGACGGUGUCACGCUCCCUCCACAGAAGCCCGUCUGCUCCUCUCGACCCCGCGACCGCCGAACGCGCAGCAACAGUCAGAGACGCGUCAAACCCGUGGACCAAGCGUCACCACGCUGUAAUAACGGAGGCUAAAUAAUACGACGGACGAACAUUAGAACAAAUCGUCUCCACGGGAAUCGUCUGGAAAAGCGCGUUAACGGAGGGUGAGAGCUGUCCUUUCACUCGUCUCCUCCCUUCGCUGCGAUGCUCCUUCGCAGCCUGUAAUUAACUCAGCGUAUCUUUGCCGUGAUGUGGAAAUGAAACGCAAUUUAGCCUGGAAGGCGUGUGUGUGUGUGUGUGUGUGUGUGUGUGUGUGUGUGUGUGUGUGUGUGUGUGUGUGUGUGUGUGUGAUGGUAAAACAAACGAUAGCAAGAGGUUAAUAGGAAGAGAAUUAAAAGUGAGAUUAGACACUGAUUAGCUGGUGUAGAGCAGCUAGAAGCAGACAAACAGAGGAAUGUGGAGGUUGUGGAGCGUGUCCGCGUCUGAACGUGCCGAUAUUCAGACGUCUGCUCUUGUUGUUCGCCCUGCGCUUUGCACGGACUGAGCUCCUCAUUUUCCUCCCGGACUCAGCCGCGCUUCGCCCCUGUGCUUCCUCCCUGACAGGACGUGGCGAGAGUCAGAGCCCUCUUCAUUUUGUGCCGGCGCCUAAUAGGCAGCGCUCGGUCCUGCUCAUGUCCGCCGGCGAGGAGGCCCGAUGAGUCCCACCGCGCACGGGCCGAGCGGCGGCGGCGGCGCCGGUGGAACGGACCUCUGAUGGAGGAGCUGACGCUAAUGCGCAAAACGCAGCAAAUCAAAGAGAUGAGGAGGAGAAGGAGGCUUCAGUCUGGCAGGAGACAGAGCAGACUUCAUUCACAGGUACAAACCUGCGGCCACUGGGGUUUGACACUAAGUCACUCUUUACCAGCUUCUGUGAAGUCUGACUUAUUCUCACUGUAUGUAGGAAUUAUUUGAAACCAGUGACUCCGAACCAAAACAGGAAGUUCCUGCUGUCAGUCACUCGUUCACACUGAAUCUGUCUGAUGAGGUUCGGUCCGACCCGGUUCUCCCUGUGAUCAGCUGUUCGACUCCGGGUCCACCCUCCUGUGCUCGGCUCCGGGUUCAAACAGCCGCUGGCCGUGUGACGUUCACUGACUCAGACACGACCUUCUCAUCAGGAACUCAAAGCGUGGGCUUCCUUUAAGUCUAUCGGAGGCGCUGUCGUUAGUUUCAUCCUCGUGUCGAACAAACACAACAGCAUCAAACCUCUUCAUUUGCUUGUUUUCAGCAGGCAGACUUGUUUCUAUCAGGCGCGUCUGAACACAAUCAGCCCCGGAGCAGGUCUCGCUGUAGGCUUUUACUCAUGCAACCCUCUUGUUUGCUUUGCUGAUAUUUGUUGAUGGGUUUUCUCUUUUGUAUUACCAGAACAAAUUUAAUUAGAGCUCCAGGAAUACAAAUCAGCGCUCACCCACCAAAUGCUAUUUGGUCCCCUAAUAAAGGACCCGGAGAAAGGAAGGGAGGAAUUACAAAUGUGUUUUCGAGAGUCUGGGAUAGAAUUGCUUCAGGAUUGAAGUUAUUUAACAAAUGAAUGCAAUUUUACAAAAGCAGCCCUAAAGGCUGCAGAGCGCGGACCUGCCGGAGAAUAAGAGGCCGGGACGUGUGUCCGAACACAAGGGUGGAGGUGGAACGUCUGAGGAGCUCCUGCCUGUUCCGUCUCCUGACAGAUUAACUAAUAGCCGGCUUUGUGUCUCAGGAUUAAUUGGCCCGGUUUCCCUCCUGCUUCUCAUUAAUAAAUUAUUUUCAUGGCUGAGAGGUUAGCGGCGCUCCAGGGGCCACACGAGUGUACAGAUGGAGCGGUCCACUGGACUGACAGUGCCUGAGACGCCUCUCAGGCACUUAUCAGCUGCUGGAAGGAGAACCAGAACCAGAAGUUUGAAAACCUCAUCUGAUAGUCAGCAGAAUCUUUGAAGUGUCUCAGGCAGCAGAUGGAUUCCAGACCUGACCCACAGCGUCUCCUGAGUCUCUGGGCAGCUCUUUGAUAGCGGACAAACACAUUGAUUGAUUGGCUGCUGGAUUGAUCGCUGCAGCCUUGACCUUCUUCCUGGACGGACCGAAUGAAGCGAAGUGUGGAGCGAACGGAACCGCAGGCUCUCCCGGCUGCUUGAUCUGGAUCCAGAAGGCAGCCUGGUGCUGGUCGGUGAGAGCGGAUGACUGCAGGGCACAGGAUGAGCUUUUGGUCAUUUGUGUUCCAGGCCAAGCAUCUUAAAUGAGUCCUGUCCUCCGCUGAACCUGAUGCAUAAAGUGGAGAAUGGUGUCUUACUGAGACAUCUGCUUUGUUUGUUCUGGCCCGGACUCAUUAACAGUCCGGCGCCGGGUCCGGCUGGUUCCGGCUGUGCCUUCCGUGCAGCGCUCACCUCCCGCCUCUUGUGUUUGCUGCCGCGUCCUUUGGGGAAGAGACCGUUUCCAAUUCAUUAAGCCGGGCUUUGUUUGAGGGCCUGCAAAUUAAACAGCCGGAUGCUGCUUUUAGUUUCGCUGUGUGCUUCUCCUCUCACCGUUGUAAAGCACAAGGUGCUGCAGUGAGCAUGACUCUGAGUCUGGAUCUCUAAUAUAAAGCCGGGCGCUGUGUGCUCUCUGUCCAGGCAAUGAAACUCAGGCCGGCCGAGUGUUUCAAUUCAUUAGCUUCCCACCAGCAUGUGUAGACAGUAUACUAAUAAACAAUCUGGGAUUCUG